This 443-nucleotide ribosomal RNA is filed under the name uncultured bacterium. RNAcentral's name for it is "SSU rRNA". It matches the Rfam family "Bacterial small subunit ribosomal RNA", at positions 26 to 518 of the family's 1533-position model. The record is from RNAcentral.
AGAACGAACGCUGGCGGCAGGCCUCAAACAUGCAAGUCUAGGGGGGUAGCAAUACCCACCGGCGGACGGGUGCGUAACACGUGGGAAUAUACCUUUUGGUUCGGAACAACUGAGGGAAACUUCAGCUAAUACCGAAUGUGUCCUUACGGAGAAAGAUUUAUCGCCAAAGGAUUAGCCCGCGUCCGAUUAGCUAGUUGGUGAGGUAAUGGCUCACCAAGGCUCCGAUCGGUAGCUGUUCUGAGAGGAAGAUCAGCCACACUGGGACUGAGACACGGCCCAGACUCCUACGGGAGGCAGCAGUUGGGAAUCUUGGACAAUGGGGAAACCCUGAUCCAGCCAUGCCGCGUGAGUGAUGAAGGCCUUCGGUGUAAACCACUUUCAGCAGGGACGAUUGUGACGGUACCUGCAGAAGAAGCACCGGCCAACUACGUGCCAGCAGCCGC